This 681-nucleotide ribosomal RNA is filed under the name uncultured bacterium. RNAcentral's name for it is "bacterial SSU rRNA". It matches the Rfam family "Bacterial small subunit ribosomal RNA", at positions 337 to 1018 of the family's 1533-position model. The record is from RNAcentral.
UCCUACGGGAGGCAGCAGUGAGGAAUAUUGGUCAAUGGGCGCAAGCCUGAACCAGCCAUGUCGCGUGCAGGAAGACUGCCCUAUGGGUUGUAAACUGCUUUUAUACGGGAAUAAUAACAGAUACGCGUAUUUGUUUGAAUGUACCGUACGAAUAAGGAUCGGCUAACUCCGUGCCAGCAGCCGCGGUAAUACGGAGGAUUCGAGCGUUAUCCGGAUUCAUUGGGUUUAAAGGGUGCGUAGGCGGAAUUUUAAGUCAGAGGUGAAAUCCUGCAGCUCAACUGUAGAAUUGCCUUUGAAACUGAAGUUCUUGAGUAUGGACGAGGCAGGCGGAAUGUGUAAUGUAGCGGUGAAAUGCAUAGAUAUUACACAGAACCCCGAUUGCGUAGGCAGCUUGCCAGGCCAUUACUGACGCUGAUGCACGAAAGCGGGGGUAGCGAACAGGAUUAGAUACCCUGGUAGUCCACGCCGUAAACGAUGUUCACUAGCUGUAUGCGAUACACAGUAUGCGGCCGAGCGAAAGCAUUAAGUGAACCACCUGGGGAGUACGUUGGCAACAAUGAAACUCAAAUGAAUUGACGGGGGCCCGCACAAGCGGACGAACAUGUGGUUUAAUUCGAUGAUACUCGAGGAACCUUACCUGGACUUUAAUGUAGAUUGCAUAGAUUAAGACAGUCUUUUUCU